Molecule: long non-coding RNA, 244 nt
Filed under: Gossypium raimondii (Peruvian cotton)
Lineage: Eukaryota; Viridiplantae; Streptophyta; Magnoliopsida; Malvales; Malvaceae
Description: long non-coding RNA (GRAI_LNC004481)
Source: RNAcentral
UGAAGUAGAUCGAAGAAAACAGAUCUUGUCUUCCUCUACUGGCAGCGAAGUAGAUCAAAUAUAACAGAUCUUGUCUUCAUGUAUUGACAUGAAAUAGAUCGAAGAUAGCAGAUCAUGUCUUCAUGUAUUGGCUUGGUGUAGAUCGAAGAAUGGCAGAUCUUGUCUUCAUGUAUUGACACGAAGUAGAUCGAAGAUAGCAAAUCUUGUCUUCCCAUAUUGGUGGUGAAGUAGAUCGAAGAUAAUG